CCUACGGGUGGCAGCAGUGAGGAAUAUUGGUCAAUGGACGCAAGUCUGAACCAGCCAUGCCGCGUGCAGGAAGACGGCUCUAUGAGUUGUAAACUGCUUUUGUACGAGGGUAAACGCAGAUACGCGUAUCUGUCUGAAAGUAUCGUACGAAUAAGGGUCGCCUAACUCCGCUCCAGCAGCCGCGGUAAGACGGAGGAUUCAAGCGUUAUCCGGAUUUAUUGGGUUUAAGGGGUGCGUAGGCGGUCGGAUAAGUUAGAGGUGAAAUCCCGAGGCUCAACUUCGGAAUUGCCUCUGAUACUGUUCGGCUAGAGAGUAGUUGCGGUAGGCAGAAUGUAUGGUGUAGCGGUGAAAUGCGUAGAGAUCAUACAGAACACCGAUUGCGAAGGCAGCUUACCAAUCUAUAUCUGACGUUGAGGCACGAAAGCGUGGGGAGCAAACAGGAUUAGAUACCCGUGUAGUC
RNAcentral lists this ribosomal RNA (460 nucleotides) under uncultured bacterium. Its description in RNAcentral is "partial 16S ribosomal RNA". It matches the Rfam family "Bacterial small subunit ribosomal RNA", at positions 338 to 795 of the family's 1533-position model. The record is from RNAcentral.